UUUCUUACAUCAUACACAAAAAUAAACUCAAAAUGGAUGAAAGACCAAAACAUAAGACAGGAAGCCAUCAAAAUCCUAGAAGAGAAAGCAGGCAAUAACUUCCUUGACUUCAGCCACAGCAUCUUCUUACUUCACAUGUCUCUGGUGAUCAGGCAAACCAAAAU
Long non-coding RNA from Leopardus geoffroyi (Geoffroy's cat), 164 nucleotides. RefSeq lists it as uncharacterized. NCBI's taxonomy places the organism in Eukaryota, Metazoa, Chordata, Mammalia, Carnivora, Felidae. The record is from RefSeq and is a predicted model, not a curated record. The transcript is spliced from 4 exons.